CCUACGGGCGGCUGCAGUGAGGAAUAUUGGUCAAUGGGGGCAACUCUGAACCAGCCAAGUCGCGUGAAGGAUGAAGGUCUUAUGGAUUGUAAACUUCUUUUGCAAGGGAAUAAAGUGGGGGACGUGUCCUCCUUUGCAUGUACCUUGCGAAUAAGGAUCGGCUAACUCCGUGCCAGCAGCCGCGGUAAUACGGAGGAUCCGAGCGUUAUCCGGAUUUAUUGGGUUUAAAGGGUGCGCAGGCGGGAUGUUAAGUCGGCGGUGAAAUUUUGCAGCUCAACUGUAAAAGUGCCUUCGAUACUGGCUUUCUUGAGUGUGGAUGAAGUAGGCGGAAUUUGUGGUGUAGCGGUGAAAUGCUUAGAUAUCACGAGGAACUCCGAUUGCGCAGGCAGCUUACUAAACCACUACUGACGCUCAUGCACGAAAGCGUGGGGAUCAAACAGGAUUAGAUACCCCUGUAGUC
This 460-nucleotide ribosomal RNA is filed under the name uncultured Petrimonas sp. RNAcentral's name for it is "bacterial SSU rRNA". It matches the Rfam family "Bacterial small subunit ribosomal RNA", at positions 338 to 795 of the family's 1533-position model. Lineage: Bacteria; Pseudomonadati; Bacteroidota; Bacteroidia; Bacteroidales; Dysgonomonadaceae. The record is from RNAcentral.